This is a non-coding RNA of Oncorhynchus mykiss (rainbow trout), 252 nucleotides long. Lineage: Eukaryota; Metazoa; Chordata; Actinopteri; Salmoniformes; Salmonidae. The record is from RefSeq and is a predicted model, not a curated record.
GGUAGGUCAGGGACAGCAGGCUGUGUCCAGAGGUAGCAGAGGAAGGUCAGGGACAGCAGGCUGUGUCCAGGGGUAGCAGAGGAAGGUCAGGGACUGCAGGCUGUGUCCAGGGGUAGCAGAGGAAGGUCAGGGACAGCAGGCUGUGUCCAGAGGUAGCAGAGGAAGGUCAGGGACUGCAUGCUGUGUCCAGGGUUAGCAGAGGAAGGUCGUGGACAUUAUGCUGUGUCCAGAGGAAGGUCAGGGACUGCAUGC